This 523-nucleotide ribosomal RNA is filed under the name uncultured bacterium. Its description in RNAcentral is "partial 16S ribosomal RNA". It matches the Rfam family "Bacterial small subunit ribosomal RNA", at positions 28 to 523 of the family's 1533-position model. The record is from RNAcentral.
GACGAACGCUGGCGGCGUGCCUAAUACAUGCAAGUCGAGCGCAGGAAACUGACGGAACUCUUCGGAGGGAAGGCAGUGGAAUGAGCGGCGGACGGGUGAGUAACACGUAAGGAACCUGCCUCUAGGAUUGGGAUAACUCCGAGAAAUCGGAGCUAAUACCGGAUAGUUCAUCGGACCGCAUGGUCCGUUGAUGAAAGGCGCUCCGGCGUCACCUUGAGAUGGCCUUGCGGUGCAUUAGCUAGUUGGUGGGGUAACGGCCCACCAAGGCGACGAUGCAUAGCCGACCUGAGAGGGUGAUCGGCCACACUGGGACUGAGACACGGCCCAGACUCCUACGGGAGGCAGCAGUAGGGAAUCUUCCACAAUGGACGAAAGUCUGAUGAGCAACGCCGCGUGAGUGAUGAAGGUUUUCGGAUCGUAAAACUCUGUUGUAAGGGAAGAACACGUACGAGAGGGAAUGCUCGUACCUUGACGGUACCUUACGAGAAAGCCACGGCUAACUACGUGCCAGCCGCCGCCGUAA